UGGGGAAUUUUGCACAAUGGGGGAAACCCUGAUGCAGCGACGCCGCGUGAUUUAGAAGGCCUUCGGGUUGUAAAAAUCUUUUCUAUGGGAAGAAAAUGACAGUACCAUAGGAAUAAGGACCGGCUAAUUACGUGCCAGCAGCCGCGGUAAUACGUAAGGUACGAGCGUUGUGCGGAAUCAUUGGGCGUAAAGGGUACGUAGGCGGGUAAGCAAGUUAGAAGUGAAAUCCUAUAGCUCAACUAUAGUAAGCUUUUAAAACUGCUCAUCUUGGGGUAUGGAAGGGAAAGUGGGAUUCCUAGUGUAGCGGUGAAAUGCAAAGAUAUUAGGAGGGAUACCGGUGGCGAAGGCGACUUUCUGGCCAUAACCUGACGCUGAGGUACGAAAGCGUGGGUAGCAAACAGG
RNAcentral lists this ribosomal RNA (402 nucleotides) under bacterium. RNAcentral's name for it is "partial 16S ribosomal RNA". It matches the Rfam family "Bacterial small subunit ribosomal RNA", at positions 355 to 776 of the family's 1533-position model. The record is from RNAcentral.